Molecule: unclassified non-coding RNA, 378 nt
Filed under: plant metagenome
Description: partial contains 5.8S ribosomal RNA, internal transcribed spacer 2, and large subunit ribosomal RNA
Rfam family: 5.8S ribosomal RNA (bases 1-105)
Source: RNAcentral
GAAAUGCGAUAAGUAAUGUGAAUUGUAGAAUUCAGUGAAUCAUCGAAUCUUUGAACGCACCUUGCGCUCCUUGGUAUUCCUUGGAGCAUGCCUGUUUGAGUAUCAUGAAAUCUUCAAAGUAAAUCUUUUGUUAACUCAAUUGGUUUCUACUUUGGUAUUGGAGGUCUUUGCAGCUUCACACCUGCUCCUCUUUGUUCAUUAGCUGGAUCUCAGUGUUAUGCUUGGUUCCACUCGGCGUGAUAAGUUAUCUAUCGCUGAGGACACUGUAAAAGGUGGCCAAGGUAAAUGCAGAUGAACCGCUUCUAAUAGUCCAUUGACUUGGACAAUACUUUUAUGAUCUGAUCUCAAAUCAGGUAGGACUACCCGCUGAUCUUAAGC